Molecule: ribosomal RNA, 253 nt
Filed under: uncultured bacterium
Lineage: Bacteria
Description: partial 16S ribosomal RNA
Rfam family: Bacterial small subunit ribosomal RNA
Source: RNAcentral
UACAGAGGUCCCGAGCGUUGUUCGGAUUCACUGGGCGUAAAGGGUGCGUAGGUGGUGAGGUAAGUCGGAUGUGAAAGCUCCGAGCUCAACUCGGAAAUGGCAUUGGAAACUACCUUGCUAGAGGGUUUGAGGGGGGACUGGAAUACUUGGUGUAGCAGUGAAAUGCGUAGAUAUCGAGAGGAACACCUGCGGCGAAGGCGGGUUGCUGGGCUGACACUGACGCUGAGGCGCGAAAGCUAGGGGAGCGAACGGG